Molecule: long non-coding RNA, 620 nt
Organism: Gambusia affinis (western mosquitofish)
Lineage: Eukaryota; Metazoa; Chordata; Actinopteri; Cyprinodontiformes; Poeciliidae
Exons: 3
Source: RefSeq, a predicted model, not a curated record
GGCACAUCUAAAAGUUGCACGACUGCGGCCCUCGAGGACUGGAGUUUGACACCCCUGCCUUACACUUUGAAGCAUCAUCAAGAUGCACCCCGAUCUAACAGCUCCUGGACCAGAUCCACAUGACCUUCCUUGGCAGCCAGAUGCAGAGCAUUCAGACCAUUCUGGGAAUAAAAGAAAGAAAGAUCAGAGCUUGACACAGUGUGAACAGCUGCUUAUCAACGUCAGAUUACAUGUGGAACCUUGUAAUGCUGCAGAGGACCAGAGCGUUUACUGGGAAUGGAGCUAUAAAUAGUGGAGUGUGUUUGUGAUUCUGUGUGUGCAGAUACACACACAGUUACGCACAAACUAUAAUAUCUGAACUAAAAUGUUAUUGCAGUGGCACUGAUCUGUGACAUGUAGAGCUUUAAACAAAGAAUGAAAUGGGCACAUCCUAUUGAUAUGAACCUUGUAGUAGUUUUUAAGACCUCUAUUAAUAUCUUCAGUGUACACAGCAGUGUCAUGUGAUGUUGGAGCAGCUCACAAAUGACACAAACACAAGAAUGAUACUAAGGAUAAGAAAAAGGGAGUGUGAUUAAAAAAAGUGUGAUUGUGAUGUGUGAUACAACAUUAAUGUCACUUCU